Paramuricea clavata is the source of this 202-nucleotide non-coding RNA. Lineage: Eukaryota; Metazoa; Cnidaria; Anthozoa; Malacalcyonacea; Plexauridae. The record is from the annotation of a GenBank genome assembly.
UCUAUUUACGAUUUUCACGUGUGUGACUGCAAUACGUUGUUGUAAAUCCACUCGCCACCAAGGUGUUGUUUCUUCAUCUGUGUGGGUACACGAUCCACCGUAGUAGUAGCGGUUUUUGUUUCCAUCUACAGCUCUUGAAGCAACGCCUUCGUUUGUGGUUUUUGAUUGUUGUGCAGGUUUCUUAAAUGCAAAGUUUUCCCCU